Non-coding RNA from Acanthosepion pharaonis, 111 nucleotides. The record is from the annotation of a GenBank genome assembly. Lineage: Eukaryota; Metazoa; Mollusca; Cephalopoda; Sepiida; Sepiidae.
UACGGUCAUAUCAUGUAGAAACAUUAGUUCCCAUAGGAUCACUGAAGUUAAGCAACAUCAAGCCUGGUUAGUACUUAGAUCAGUGAUGCUUGGGAAUACCAGGUGCUCCAG